UAAAUAUUAAAUCAAAGAUAUUAAUAUAUUAAAAGAAAAUAAUUAAUUAACAAUAAUGUAUUCAAAGUAACAUCGACUCUCAUUCCAAUACUUUAAUUCCCGAUACAGUACAAACAAUAUGAAUCAAAUACAGAGUUACUUCAACAUUCAAUUACGUAAACUUUCCCUUGAAAGUUCCAAAAGAACACUGGUAAUAGUUUUAGAUUUAGUGUUCAUGUUUUCCUCAAGUCCAGGAUUCCUCUGAAUUAGUUGCUCUCACAUUCCUCUUAACUCUUCUUCCAAGAACUGAAAUAAAAAAAGAAAAGAACCAUUACUAAACUGAUUUAGGAAAACUACCAAGUAGCCAAAAAAAAAAGUGAUUGUACCUCAUAUAAUAUCUUGAAGAAGUACAGGAGCCAUGCGACUGCUACUAUCUGCAAAAAAACAUAAAACCACAUUCAAUAGUACAAGCUUAAGAGAACUAAAUCAAUUCACCAUCGUUAGCUAUGGAAAAGAUUAUUCCACUAAUAGAGAUGGAGUUACAUAUAACUGUAGGAAGUGUUUCACAGAUGAUGUACCCUUCUCAGGCAGCCGUUUAGGUGAACAACAUCUCUUGCAAUCUUUUUCUAAUUGCCAUAUUUUCAUUGUCCCGAGAAUGGUGGAUAAUGCUUUCUAUAAGCUAAAUCAAAGAGAAAUAACAUGAAAAGUAUUAGUUUCCAGUGUUAAAGUAUCAUAUGUAGAAAGAAACGAUAUCAACAUCACCUUGACAAAAUGGAUAUUUUAAUCAACUUGUGGCAAAUAAUAAUAAUUUUGCAGAAAGCUCAAGAUAUUUGAACCCGAAACUCCUAACAGUGUAGAAAGGAACUAACAAUCUCUAGUAUCAUUGUACAUGCUUACUAAUUCCUUCUCUACUCUUGAAUUCAACAGAAUGAUUGAUCAAUUUCAGUCCUAACAUCAAUGUUCCUUAUCCAACUUGUCAAUAAAGCUGAUAUUUACAAGAUACCCUACACCAUCCACAAUCUAAAUCAUCAAACACAUAAUCGUAAUGGUCAUUUACCUUCCUUUCACAAACAUCUACAAGCUUCUUUUCCGGUCAAGCAUCGCAAACAAGUAUCUACAAGAUUCUUUUCCGAUCUAAUUUGUCGUGCUGUUUGGAUUAGAGUCACCAUGAAACACAACCGCAAUAACUCUAACAUAAGACAAGUUACUAUAUAAUAUCCUUCUGUUGGAACCAGCAUCACAUGAUUCAGUAAUUUAAAAGGUUCAACACGUUAAAAAAGUUUUAACAUGUCAAAAAUACCAAGAUCGAGAUUAAACUAGUAAUCUAUAUCUUAUCAGACAUUUCAAAUCAAUUUAAUAUUCAGUUAUUUUCUCUUUUAUAGAGAAACAAAUAAAUUAGAUUACAGAGUGCCAUUUCAUUGGCUCAAUAUAGAGUAGUUUGUUAUAACAAAUAUCAAAUAAACUAUCUAGUUGAAGCAAAAAUAGUCCUAUAAUUUAAUUUAUUAUCUUUUGCAUCGUUCGAUGCAUUAGUAAAUGGAUUCAAGGUUUUAUAGCAGUAAGAAUAAUUGAACAGCCAAAUAAUGUUAAUAAUCUCAUCUCUACUAGUAUAAAAUCAUUUCAACAUGAAAAGAUGAAUCAAAGAAAGUGCAAGCUUUAACCUCAUGUUAAUAAAAUAAAGCCAGCCCAUUAAAUUUUUAUUUAAUCCUCUAAAGCAUUUGUUCAAACAGUUGAUAUGAACAGAAUACGAAGCAAAUAAGAGAAAAGGUAGCAACAAUUUUAAAGGCAGUUAACUAAAAAUUCAAUCCAGCGAACAACAGAUUAGAACGGAAAAACACUUACCAAAAUCUUAAUAUCUUCGACCAGAUAUUUGAGAAUUACAUAGAAUAGAUUAAAAAUGGCAGUCGAUUGUUUAUAAAAGGCGGCCUAAAUUUUGGUGACCUUCUGUCAUGUUUAGAGUUCUAGGGCAAUCUAACACCCCGGUAGUUUCCCCUUUCAAUUCUCCGCAUCACACUAUUUCACGGCGACCGCGAACAUAAAACGGGGGCAUCGUGAAUUGGGGUUGAAGAAAGGGGAGAGAUUGGUAGGGUUCUAGAGGAGACAACUUUCAUAGUAGUGUUUAAUUCCGGAUUAAACAAUACUCCAUAAAGUAAGAAAAUUUCCUUCAUUAGCAGUAAAUAUUGACUAAUAUUGUGGCAUUUUGUUGCUGCCAAACACACAUGCUAGUAUACGUGGUCGUCAAGUAAUAAAAUGAUUAGAAAUCGGAUAUCGAACCCACAAGAACUUGUGAUUAACUAUUAACUAAAUUAGACUUUCC
This 2293-nucleotide long non-coding RNA is filed under the name Nicotiana tabacum (common tobacco). Its description in RNAcentral is "long non-coding RNA (NTAB_LNC013998)". Lineage: Eukaryota; Viridiplantae; Streptophyta; Magnoliopsida; Solanales; Solanaceae. The record is from RNAcentral.